RNAcentral lists this ribosomal RNA (247 nucleotides) under uncultured bacterium. Its description in RNAcentral is "partial 16S ribosomal RNA". It matches the Rfam family "Bacterial small subunit ribosomal RNA", at positions 524 to 770 of the family's 1533-position model. The record is from RNAcentral.
GACGGAGGAUGCAAGUGUUAUCCGGAAUCACUGGGCGUAAAGCGUCUGUAGGUGGUUUAAUAAGUCAACUGUUAAAUCUUGAGGCUCAACCUCAAAAUCGCAGUCGAAACUAUUAGGCUAGAGUAUAGUAGGGGUAAAGGGAAUUUCCAGUGGAGCGGUGAAAUGCGUAGAGAUUGGAAAGAACACCGAUGGCGAAGGCACUUUACUGGGCUAUUACUAACACUCAGAGACGAAAGCUAGGGUAGCA